This 490-nucleotide ribosomal RNA is filed under the name uncultured bacterium. RNAcentral's name for it is "partial 16S ribosomal RNA". It matches the Rfam family "Bacterial small subunit ribosomal RNA", at positions 30 to 507 of the family's 1533-position model. The record is from RNAcentral.
AUUGAACGCUGGCGGCAGGCCUAACACAUGCAAGUCGAACGGUAACAGGAAACAGCUUGCUGUUUCGCUGACGAGUGGCGGACGGGUGAGUAAUGUCUGGGAAACUGCCUGAUGGAGGGGGAUAACUACUGGAAACAGUAGCUAAUACCGCAUAACGUCGCAAGACCAAAGAGGGGGACCUUCGGGCCUCUUGCCAUCGGCUGUGCCCAGAUGGGAUUAGCUAGUAGGUGGGGUAACGGCUCACCUAGGCGACGAUCCCUAGCUGGUCUGAGAGGAUGACCAGACACACUGGAACUGAGACACGGUCCAGACUACUACGGGAGGCAGCAGUGGGGAAUAUUGCACAAUGGGCGCAAGCCUGAUGCAGCCAUGCCGCGUGUAUGAAGAAGGCCUUCGGGUUGUAAAGUACUUUCAGCGGGGAGGAAGGGAGUAAAGUUAAUACCUUUACUCAUUGACGUUACCCGCAGAAGAAGCACCGGCUAACUCCGUG